This 468-nucleotide ribosomal RNA is filed under the name uncultured bacterium. Its description in RNAcentral is "partial 16S ribosomal RNA". It matches the Rfam family "Bacterial small subunit ribosomal RNA", at positions 28 to 507 of the family's 1533-position model. The record is from RNAcentral.
GACGAACGCUGGCGGCGUGCUUAACACAUGCAAGUCGAACGGAAAGGCCCUGCUUUUGUGGGGUGCUCGAGUGGCGAACGGGUGAGUAACACGUGAGUAACCUGCCCUUGACUUUGGGAUAACUUCAGGAAACUGGGGCUAAUACCGGAUAGGAGCUCCUGCUGCAUGGUGGGGGUUGGAAAGUUUCGGCGGUUGGGGAUGGACUCGCGGCUUAUCAGCUUGUUGGUGGGGUAGUGGCUUACCAAGGCUUUGACGGGUAGCCGGCCUGAGAGGGUGACCGGCCACAUUGGGACUGAGAUACAGCCCAGACGCCUACGGGAGGCAGCAGUGGGGAAUAUUACACAAUGGGCGGAAGCCUGAUGCAGCAACGCCGCGUGCGGGAUGACGGCCUUCGGGUUGUAAACCGCUUUCGCCUGUGACGAGGCGUGAGUUACGGUAAUGGGUAAAGAAGCACCGGCUAACUACGUG